CCCUUAGAUGUCCUGGGCCGCACGCGCGCUACACUGACAUGUUCAACAAGCCUCCUAGUUCGACAGGAUUUGGGAAAUCUUUGAACGCAUGUCGUGAUAGGGAUAGAUCAUUGCAAUUAUUGAUCUUGAACGAGGAAUUCCUAGUAAACGCGAGUCAUCAGCUCGCAUUGAUUGCGUCCCUGCCCUUUGUACACACCGCCCGUCGCACCUACCGAUUGAAUGUUUCGGUGAAGAUUCCGGAUAGGACUUUUUUGAUUUAUUUCAAUUUUGUCUUAAAAGCUAUCUAAACCUCAACAUUUAGAGGAAGGUGAAGUCGUAACA
RNAcentral lists this ribosomal RNA (321 nucleotides) under uncultured eukaryote. RNAcentral describes it as "partial 18S ribosomal RNA". It matches the Rfam family "Eukaryotic small subunit ribosomal RNA", at positions 1470 to 1796 of the family's 1831-position model. The record is from RNAcentral.